This 1169-nucleotide long non-coding RNA is filed under the name Sus scrofa (pig). RNAcentral's name for it is "lncRNA (ENSSSCG00040045719.1)". Lineage: Eukaryota; Metazoa; Chordata; Mammalia; Artiodactyla; Suidae. The record is from RNAcentral.
CUCGGCGGGGCGCGCGGCGGGCGGACUGGGCGGACUGGGCUCGGCUGCGCGCGCCAUGGCCCGGGGCCUGCGCGGCCUCCCGCGGCGCGGCCUCUGGCUGCUGCUGGGUGCCUGCCCGUCAGCCCCAGGCCAGGGUUGUUUACGUCCGCAUCGGAAGUGGUGGCAGCAACAUGUCAAGCUGGACUCCUUCCUUUCUAAGGCAAAUAGCCAGCUGGGAAAGUCUGUUCCUCCUGAUUUUCUUCCCCCAGAAUGAAGCGGCGCCCCAGCUUCUACUCAUUUAGAAGUGGUGUCAGCAGAGGGGUGUGGGCGCCCCGUGUGGCAUAAAUCCCAGCAGAGAUGCUGAGCCCCCAGUGGUGGAGCCCUGAGAGAUUGGCAGCCAGCAUCCCUCUCCUUGGGGCACAGAGCCUUCCUUUCCUGGUCCACCUGGCAGGUGGGCUCCCGCCUCUGUGCGCCCUGGCCCAGGCCUGCCUGCUCAGGGCAGGGCGGGAACCCAGGCUGGGCCGGCUGCUUUCUGCUGGAGCCUUGGGGGGAAGCCAACUCUUUCCUCUCAGCCGGCUGGAUCUGAGUGUUGGGCUGCCAGAUCCCAUCCUGUGCCCCCGGGCUGAGUUCUCCUGACGCUUCCCAGCGCUUGGGUUGACCCCAAGAGGUGGACCUUUCAACCCUGUGACCCUGUGGUGUCUGAACCAGGUGUGUCUCUUUGCAGGACAGUGCCUGGUGGGGGGCAGAUCUGGUGCCAGUGGGAACCUGCCCAAGAGCCUCUUUUGCUCCUGGGGACUCAGGGAAGACCUGGGGCGGGAGGUGCUGCGGCCGCUGGGAAGGGAGAGGAGCGGAGACGGGCCGGGGCGGCGGCUGUGGCCUCCUGCACCUGUGCUGGCCCUGGGCCCACCUUGCUGUCCAGCGUGCUCCUGGCUGAUGGAGACGGACGCGAAGCGAAUGGGUCCUGCCCUCCCCACACAUGGACACACACGGACACACAAGCACGGAGCCCCCGGAGGGNCCCCCCCCGCCCGCCCCGCCGUGCCUCUCCCCCCCCAGGAUGCUGGCCUUGGGCUGGGGACGUUUCUAGAGAACUCGUUUGUUCUUAGCCAGGAGGCUCCCAACCUCAACAAGAACUUAUCCUUUGUAAUAUAAGGACGUUCUUGUCCACGGGGAAACUUUUUCCUCCUCAG